UACGUAGGGGGCGAGCGUUGUCCGGAGUUACUGGGCGUAAAGCGCACGCAGGCGGUCUGUUAAGUUUGGAGUGGCAGUUGGUGGCUUAACUGCCAAAGUGCUUCGAAAACUGACAGACUUGAGGGCUUCAUAGGGACACGGAAUUCCGGGUGGAGUGGUGAAAUGCGUAGAGAUCCGGAGGAACACCAAAGGCGAAGGCAGUGUCCUGGGGAGUACCUGACGCUCAGGUGCGAAAGCCAGGGGAGCGAACGGG
Molecule: ribosomal RNA, 253 nt
Filed under: uncultured bacterium
Lineage: Bacteria
Description: partial 16S ribosomal RNA
Rfam family: Bacterial small subunit ribosomal RNA
Source: RNAcentral